Molecule: ribosomal RNA, 253 nt
Filed under: uncultured bacterium
Lineage: Bacteria
Description: partial 16S ribosomal RNA
Rfam family: Bacterial small subunit ribosomal RNA
Source: RNAcentral
UACAGAGGUCUCAAGCGUUGUUCGGAUUCAUUGGGCGUAAAGGGUGCGUAGGCGGCGCGGUAAGUCGGGUGUGAAAUUUCGGAGCUUAACUCCGAAACUGCAUUUGAUACUGCCUUGCUUGAGGACUGGAGAGGAGACUGGAAUUCACGGUGUAGCAGUGAAAUGCGUAGAGAUCGUGAGGAAGACCAGUGGCGAAGGCGGGUCUCUGGACAGUUCCUGACACUGAGGCACGAAGGCCAGGGGAGCAAACGGG